Non-coding RNA from Coregonus clupeaformis (lake whitefish), 2281 nucleotides. The record is from the annotation of a RefSeq genome assembly. Lineage: Eukaryota; Metazoa; Chordata; Actinopteri; Salmoniformes; Salmonidae.
AAGUUGAAUGCACCAAUUUGUAAGUCGCUCUGGAUAAGAGCGUCUGCUAAAUGACUUAAAUGUAAAUGUGUUGUGAUAAAGGGACCUAUUCAAUGAACUUAACGAAACCUUUUAAAGGGAUUUGCUUGAGUGAAUCCUCUAACGAGAAUUGGUAAAAACCACAUGACAUUCUGAACACUUGAUUUUGCAUUAUGAUUUGCCAAACAAAAGGCUUGCUAUUAUGUACAUAUUUGUGUAUUUUAUGUACAUUUGUGUUUUAGCAAACUCACUGUGUGUUUAGGGCUAUUUUCAAGUGAACUAAUUUAGAUAAAAAUCAUUUGAAUGGAGUUUGAUUGCCUGACUGUUUGGGUACUUAAGUGUCAAUACUGUAUCAUCUCUGUUACUGUCUAUCUAGGUUCACCGAAACGCUGAGGUUUCUGUUGUUACCAGCUUUAACCACUGGGGGGAGCAUGAGACCAAAUCCUAUUUUUAACCUCAACAGAUUGUCUGGAGUGGAGCCCCACAGUAAGUAGCCACUAGAAUUCUGGAAGCACAGGCAUCUACUUUUUGCUUACUCAUACGUUAUUUUUAGAUAACAUGGUGAGAGAGCCCUUGCAUCAAAUCCUUUUCUCAGCAUUGAUGGUGUUGGUUGUUCCUCGGAAGACCAUUUGCAUAGAGAGGAUACUUUGCAUUGGCGGUGCAUGCUUCAGUGCUCUGGGAGUGUUUAUAUCCCUGUGAGUUGAACACUUCAUGACUGAGAUCUGUCCUUCAUGACAACAGAACCAACAACAACCAUGACUUUUAUCACCAUCUUCAUCUGGACACUUGCUUUCAAGUAUUUUUUUUCAGAAUCCAGAGGGCAGUACACUUUGACUCAGACUCCUGCGGUGAAUGCUGUUCUCCCAGGACAGACAGUCUCUCUGGGGUGUAAAACUAGCAGUGAUCCUUAUGGGAAUUGUGGUGGUUCAGGUGAACAGUGUCUAGCUUGGUACCAGCAGAAACCUGGAGGAGCUCCUAAACUCCUCAUUUACUAUAUAAGCACCCUUCAGUCUGGGACUCCAUCUAGAUUCAGUGGCAGUGGAUCUGGGAGUGAUUUCACUCUGACCAUCAGUGGAGUCCAGGCUGAAGAUGCAGGAUAUUACUACUGUCAGAGUUUCCACUAUCCCAAUAGUAAAUAUGUGUUCACACAGUGAUACAGAGACGUACAAAAACCUCCCUCAGUCAGACUGCACAGUGACUGUACUGCUACAGAUGUGACCUAUUGCAGGUGCUGAGGGGGAAGAGACAGUGACAUGGAACACUAGAUGAGGUCAACUGUGACAUGUGACAAUAUGGUUAGAAAGCAAUCAUUCAGUUCACAUGACCAUCAUCAUAAUGGUUAUAACCUGUUAUAUUUGUCAUGGCCUUUAAGUGUAUAUAACAUUUCUUUGAAGUUUUGAAACACAUUACCUUCCAAUAUGUAAAGCAAGAUCGACAGAUGUAAAACAAAAGGUGUUCUGACCUCAACAAUCACUUCAGCCCUCCAAAACAAAUUCCAAAAUGGACCUCAACCAAAUGUGUGAUUUAAAUUGUGAUCUUCUAGCAUUAUAUUAACUGUUUUCAUGAGCAGGUUACUGACUGUUAGAUCUGUGAAUGAGACAUGAUGCUAGGUUCAAACAUGAGACCCAUGUACACUACAUACACUAUCUACGUAAAGUAUAAUAUCCAUUUUAUCUGUCAUUAAUUACAUGGUGGCAUAUCUGUUAUGUGUCCCUCCCUGAAUCCACUAUAGAGGUUAAAACCAGUCCACUCCCUCACAUCUGGCCCAGUCCAGGGUAUUUCAGGCAGUGAAACUGUUCAACUACUAGACUGGUAUCUGUGGGAGUGAAACGGAGAUUUACAUAGACAGGGCUGAGUGGUUCUGCUUGUCCCAGAAUAGAGCAGCACUGUCAACAGAUGUUCACUCUGUCCCCAGGGGUGUUUGGAGGUAGAGAAGACUGUCACUACACUAUAUAGCAGCGUUUCCCAAACUCGGUCCUCGGGACCCCAAGAGGUGGACAUUUUGGUUACUGUAAAGUCUGUCAAGUCAAACACGUCUGACACAGACUCAGUAUCCUGAUGAAUAAAGACAGUCAACUACUACCAUGGCAGCAGCUCUUCUAUUAUAUCACAGUAUAUUGUGAUAGUAUGAAAUACUGGUCAAUUAUAAUGUUAGAGUGAGUUUUAGACUUGACAGUUGUUAAAGACACCAUUAAUCAGCCUUACUGAAUACAUCUCUUUCCAGAAUAUUGCAAAUAUACAGUAUCUAUGAUCCAGUUUAUUA